UGGGGAAUAUUGGACAAUGGGCGCAAGCCUGAUCCAGCCAUGCCGCGUGGAUGAUGAAGGCCUUAGGGUUGUAAAGUCCUUUUAACGGGGAAGAUAAUGACGGUACCCGUAGAAUAAGCCCCGGCUAACUUCGUGCCAGCAGCCGCGGUAAUACGAAGGGGGCUAGCGUUGCUCGGAAUUACUGGGCGUAAAGCGCACGUAGGCGGCUCUUUAAGUCGGGGGUGAAAUCCUGGAGCUCAACUCCAGAACUGCCUUCGAUACUGAAGAGCUCGAGUCCGGGAGAGGUGAGUGGAACUGCGAGUGUAGAGGUGAAAUUCGUAGAUAUUCGCAAGAACACCAGUGGCGAAGGCGGCUCACUGGCCCGGUACUGACGCUGAGGUGCGAAAGCGUGGGGAGCAAACAGGAUUAGAUACC
This 414-nucleotide ribosomal RNA is filed under the name uncultured bacterium. RNAcentral's name for it is "bacterial SSU rRNA". It matches the Rfam family "Bacterial small subunit ribosomal RNA", at positions 355 to 786 of the family's 1533-position model. The record is from RNAcentral.